RNAcentral lists this transfer RNA (85 nucleotides) under Candidatus Azambacteria bacterium RIFCSPHIGHO2_01_FULL_51_74. RNAcentral describes it as "tRNA-Leu". It matches the Rfam family "tRNA". From Rfam's summary of the family: Transfer RNA (tRNA) molecules are approximately 80 nucleotides in length. Their secondary structure includes four short double-helical elements and three loops (D, anti-codon, and T loops). Further hydrogen bonds mediate the characteristic L-shaped molecular structure. tRNAs have two regions of fundamental functional importance: the anti-codon, which is responsible for specific mRNA codon recognition, and the 3' end, to which the tRNAs corresponding amino acid is attached (by aminoacyl-tRNA synthetases). tRNAs cope with the degeneracy of the genetic code in two manners: having more than one tRNA (with a specific anti-codon) for a particular amino acid; and 'wobble' base-pairing, i.e. permitting non-standard base-pairing at the 3rd anti-codon position. RNAcentral also lists the same sequence under 3 other names. Lineage: Bacteria; Candidatus Azamiibacteriota. The record is from RNAcentral.
GCCCGGGUGGUGAAACUGGCAUACACGCUACCUUGAGGUGGUAGUGCCGCAAGGCGUGGAGGUUCAAAUCCUCUCCCGGGCACCA